CAACCCUUAAGCCUAGCUUAGUGUUGGGAAUCUACUGUCGUGGUGGACCUACCCUGUAGCGCCUACCCUGUAGUUCCUUAAAACCAACGGCGGAUCUGUGGUGUCCUCUGAGCGUAGUAAUUCUUCUCGCUUCUGUCAGGCGCCGCGGCUCUUGCCGUUAAACCCUGAAUUUUAAA
RNAcentral lists this unclassified non-coding RNA (176 nucleotides) under uncultured fungus. RNAcentral describes it as "sequence contains ITS2". Lineage: Eukaryota; Fungi. The record is from RNAcentral. RNAcentral also lists the same sequence under 1 other name.